GAGUUUGAUCUUGGCUCAGAUUGAACGCUGGCGGCAUGCCUUACACAUGCAAGUCGAACGGCAGCACGGGAGCUUGCUCCUGGUGGCGAGUGGCGAACGGGUGAGUAAUGCAUCGGAACGUAUCCUGGAGUGGGGGGAUAACGUAGCGAAAGUUACGCUAAUACCGCAUAUUCUGUGAGCAGGAAAGCGGGGGACCUUCGGGCCUCGCGCUCUUGGAGCGGCCGAUGUCGGAUUAGCUAGUUGGUGAGGUAAAGGCUCACCAAGGCGACGAUCCGUAACUGGUCUGAGAGGAUGAUCAGUCACACUGGAACUGAGACACGGUCCAGACUCCUACGGGAGGCAGCAGUGGGGAAUAUUGGACAAUGGGCGAAAGCCUGAUCCAGCCAUGCCGCGUGUGUGAAGAAGGUCUUCGGAUUGUAAAGCACUUUAAGUUGGGAGGAAGGGCAGUAAGUUAAUACCUUAGCUGUUUUGACGUUACCGACAGAAUAAGCACCGGCUAACU
This 502-nucleotide ribosomal RNA is filed under the name bacterium enrichment culture clone ALO1_GLFRUDD03GAFTK. RNAcentral describes it as "bacterial SSU rRNA". It matches the Rfam family "Bacterial small subunit ribosomal RNA", at positions 9 to 502 of the family's 1533-position model. The record is from RNAcentral.